CGCGAAUGGCUCAUUACAACAGCCAUAGUUUAUUAGAUCUAACUCUACUUGGAUACCUGUGGUAACCUAAGAGCUAAUACAUGCAAUCAAGUCCUGACCUUUCGGGAAGGACGCAUUUAUUAGAACAAAACCAAUCGGGCUUGCCCGUAGUUUGGUGAAUCUGAAUAACUAUGCAGAUCGCACAGUCUUGGAACUGGCGACGUAUCUUUCAAAUGUCUGGCUUAUCAACUUUCGACAGUAGUUUACACGUCUACCGUGGUCGUAACGGGUAACGGAGAAUUAGGGUUCGACUCCGGAGAGGGAGCCUGAGAAACGGCUACCACAUCCAAGGAAGGCAGCAGGCACGCAAAUUACCCACUCUCGGCACGGGGAGGUAGUGACGAAAAAUAACGAGUCGGUUCUCUAAGAGGCCCGACAUCGAAAUGGGUACAAUUUAAAUCCUUUAACGAGGAUCUAUUGGAGGGCAAGUCUGGUGCCAGCAGCCGCGGUAAUUCCAGCUCCAGAAGCGUAUAUUAAAGUUGUUGCGGUUAAAAAGCUCGUAGUUGGAUCUACGCCUUUGGUUGGCGGUCCCCCAGAAGGGUGGUACUGCCGUACCAGGGCUAUUUUUCUGGUUUUCUCUUGGUGCUCUUUACCGAGUGCUUUGGGUGACUGGAACAUUCACUUUGAAAAAAUUAGAGUGCUCAAAGCAGACGAUCUGCCUGAAUAGUGGUGCAUGGAGUAAUAGAAUAGGACUUCGGUUCUAUUUUGUUGGUUUUCGGAACUCGAGGUAAUGAUUAAGAGGGACAGACGGGGGCAUUCGUAUUGCGACGUUAGAGGUGAAAUUCUUGGAUCGUCGCAAGACGCACAACUGCGAAAGCAUUUGCCAAGAAUGUUUUCAUUAAUCAAGAACGGAAGUUAGAGGUUCGAAGGCGAUCAGAUACCGCCC
This 925-nucleotide ribosomal RNA is filed under the name Terschellingia longicaudata. RNAcentral describes it as "SSU rRNA". It matches the Rfam family "Eukaryotic small subunit ribosomal RNA", at positions 88 to 1020 of the family's 1831-position model. Lineage: Eukaryota; Metazoa; Nematoda; Chromadorea; Monhysterida; Linhomoeidae. The record is from RNAcentral.